AGUGAACGCUGGCGGUAGGCCUAACACAUGCAAGUCGAACGGCAGCACAGUAAGAGCUUGCUCUUACGGGUGGCGAGUGGCGGACGGGUGAGGAAUACAUCGGAAUCUACUUUUUCGUGGGGGAUAACGUAGGGAAACUUACGCUAAUACCGCAUACGACCUACGGGUGAAAGCAGGGGAUCUUCGGACCUUGCGCGAUUGAAUGAGCCGAUGUCGGAUUAGCUAGUUGGCGGGGUAAAGGCCCACCAAGGCGACGAUCCGUAGCUGGUCUGAGAGGAUGAUCAGCCACACUGGAACUGAGACACGGUCCAGACUCCUGCGGGAGGCAGCAGUGGGGAAUAUUGGACAAUGGGCGCAAGCCUGAUCCAGCCAUACCGCGUGGGUGAAGAAGGCCUUCGGGUUGUAAAGCCCUUUUGUUGGGAAAGAAAAGCAGCAGGUUAAUACCCCGCUGUUCCGACGGUACCCAAAGAAUAAGCACCGGCUAACUUCGUG
Molecule: ribosomal RNA, 492 nt
Filed under: uncultured bacterium
Lineage: Bacteria
Description: partial 16S ribosomal RNA
Rfam family: Bacterial small subunit ribosomal RNA
Source: RNAcentral